RNAcentral lists this ribosomal RNA (299 nucleotides) under Laribacter hongkongensis. RNAcentral describes it as "partial 16S ribosomal RNA". It matches the Rfam family "Bacterial small subunit ribosomal RNA", at positions 125 to 426 of the family's 1533-position model. Lineage: Bacteria; Pseudomonadati; Pseudomonadota; Betaproteobacteria; Neisseriales; Aquaspirillaceae. The record is from RNAcentral.
CGUACCGAGUAAUGGGGGAUAACGCAUCGAAAGGUGUGCUAAUACCGCAUACGCCCUGAGGGGGAAAGCGGGGGAUCGAAAGACCUCGCGUUAUUCGAGCGGCCGAUGCCGGAUUAGCUAGUUGGUGGGGUAAAGGCUCACCAAGGCGACGAUCCGUAGCAGGUCUGAGAGGAUGAUCUGCCACACUGGGACUGAGACACGGCCCAGACUCCUACGGGAGGCAGCAGUGGGGAAUUUUGGACAAUGGGGGCAACCCUGAUCCAGCCAUGCCGCGUGUCUGAAGAAGGCCUUCGGGUUGU